GAUGAACGCUGGCGGCGUGCCUAAUACAUGCAAGUCGAGCGAACAGACGAGGAGCUUGCUCCUCUGACGUUAGCGGCGGACGGGUGAGUAACACGUGGAUAACCUACCUAUAAGGCUGGGAUAACUUCGGGAAACCGGAGCUAAUACCGGAUAAUAUAUUGAACCGCAUGGUUCAAUAGUGAAAGACGGUUUUGCUGUCACUUAUAGAUGGAUCCGCGCCGCAUUAGCUAGUUGGUAAGGUAACAGCUUACCAAGGCAACGAUGCGUAGCCGACCUGAGAGGGUGAUCGGCCACACUGGAACUGAGACACGGUCCAGACUCCUACGGGAGGCAGCAGUAGGGAAUCUUCCGCAAUGGGCGAAAGCCUGACGGAGCAACGCCGCGUGAGUGAUGAAGGUCUUCGGAUCGUAAAACUCUGUUAUUAGGGAAGAACAAAUGUGUAAGUAACUAUGCACGUCUUGACGGUACCUAAGCAGAAAGCCACGGCUAACUACGU
This 496-nucleotide ribosomal RNA is filed under the name uncultured bacterium. RNAcentral describes it as "partial 16S ribosomal RNA". It matches the Rfam family "Bacterial small subunit ribosomal RNA", at positions 28 to 506 of the family's 1533-position model. The record is from RNAcentral.